CAUGUUCACUUCCAAGACGCCGUGGCGAGGCGCUUUCCUCUUAACUUGACGUGACAUUGAAAAUGCUUGAAAGUUGAAGCUAAAAAAGUCACCACAACUUUGUGAUUAAAUCCACUGCAGUAUGGAGGAGGCCAGGGAGGGGGGCCAGACGUGCCCCCACUGCUUUCGAAGCUUUAGAGGGGCUCAAGGUCCUGCCCAUGAACGUUUUCUUCAGCCCCUCCUCUUGCGUUGUGGCCACACCUUCUGUCAGGGAUGUAUCAGCAAACAAGUGAAGGUUCUCAAGACAAGCAUAGCAUGCCCAACAUGUCAGGUAGUGACCUCUAUGCCAUUAGGUGAAGCUAGUAUCAAGCAGUUACCAGCUAACUACUACAUGCUUGGAUAUGCCACCUGGAACACGAAGCAAGUCAUGGAUAUGUUUGACCAGAAAGUUGAGUUUCAGCCUUCUUCAAAGCUUGAGUACAAAGGGGUACAAUUGGAAGGAGGCAAGGAACUCUGCACUGGUUGUCAUCGUAUCAUAGCCACCUGUCAGUGCCAGCAGUGUGGCGACAUUUAUUGUGCACCUUGCUUUGCACGAUUGCAUCGUGGGUCACGUGCUCUUCAGACGCACCCUUCUAUUCCAUUGAGCACACCCAGGAGUGAAGAGGGAUGCAAGGAGCACGAACGAAGGGAAUUUGAGUUCUUCUGCAAGGAAGACAAGGUACCUAUCUGUGCCUUGUGUGCUCUGAUGGGAAAUCAUAAAGGUCACGACAUUAUACAGCUUUCUGAUCAGGACAAGGAAUCCUUGAAGGAACUAAAGCCAGCCUGUGACAUGGCCAAGGAAGUACUCAAGCACCAGUAUUAUGCUCGACAGAUGGCUAAAGACACAAAGCGAGACAUACACAAGGAGCUUAAUGAUGUUGCUGAUGGCGUCAAGGCUUCAUUUGCUCAUCUCCAUGCUGUCUUACAACUCAGAGAGCAUGCCUUAGUGGAGCAGAUAGUUGGUGUUGCCUCUCAGCAGACCCAGUAUAUAGGUGCCAUGUUGACUAACAUUGAAGGGAAUAUCAGUAUCUUGGAAUCGGCUAUCAUAGAUGCAUUGAUUGGCCUUGGUGAUGACGCUGUUAUUCCUGCCAACAUUACCAAGCUUGUUCAUACCUUACAGUCAUCACAGGCUUUGCCUAAUCACAUAGUGAUUCCCAAAUCAGAACAACAACAACCGCUGAGUUGUUUCACUUACAGCAGUGACACUGUCAGUAGCUUAAUGACAUUUGGGGCAGUCAAAAUCUGCUCAGAGCCAAGAUUAGAACUAAAGACAGAGUCAGAUCUUCCUGAUGACUGGGAAGCACCUGUGAUCAAUGAUGACAUCUUAAACAAUUCAGCUAUCCACAACUACAAGAAGCAGAAAGAACAAAACAAAGCAUUGUCGCCAAGCGGUAAAAGCCAGAAUGCAGCUGUACCAACAAAAGUUGGUGAAACAACCCCAACAGGCAAAGUGAAAGAAAGCAGACUUGUUCGGAGUCAUCUGUCUCCCCGAGGAUCAAAUGUCCUAGGGCGUGAGUUAGUUCGAGUCACCCAUAUUCGCAACCCAUGCUGUUUCUAUAUUCAGCGGGAAUCCGACCAAUCACAACUCAGUAACAUGAUGGUUCGCAUCAACAAAGAUUGCAAAUCCUUCAAGGAAUCUAACAGGUUGCCUGACAACCUGAGUGCUGGUGCUAUGUUGUGCUGUUUAUAUGAAGCUGAUAAGACAUGGUACCGGGUUCGAAUCAAGUCAAUCACUUACCCUGAUCCAGAGGUCAUAUCACCCAUUCCUACACCACCUCAGAGCCCCAAACAAACGCCAACAGAAACCCAAGGAGAAACAGCAACAGGAACUGAGGGGGCCAAUGAGAAUUACCUAGAGGUUGGUUCGGAGGUCGGGUCAGAGACCAGUCAAGAUAUUGUGUUUGAGGUUAAGCCUACUGUGAAACCAGAUGGCAAGCUGGAUGUUAAGCCAAAGGUCAAGGUCAACAAAUCCAAAGUGGAAGUGAUAUACGUGGAUUAUGGAAAUAGCGAAACGGUUCCACUCUCCAGUUUGUGCCGAUUGAAAUCUAAACACCAUAGCAUACCUGACUUGGCCGUGUGUUGCUCAUUGACAGACAUAGUACCAACCCGUAAGUCUGGUCGCUGGUCACUGGAAGCAGUGCAUUCCUUUGCCAACAUGGUUGGGGACAAGCCUGUUUAUAUGAGUAUUCUUGGCCAUUCAGGAGCAACCCUCUACGUGGAUCUUCACAAACCUCCUCUGUUAGAGGUUGAAGAUGACAUGCCCAUAUCCCUCCGAGAUGCUUUGGUUUUCUUGGAACUUGCCUGCUUUGUAUCACCAGAGUCUGUUCCAGAAGCUGCACCCUCUAGAGGGCCUCCUCUGAAGUUCAUUGCAGCAGAUCUUCCAGUUCAAGGCGAGGAGAUCUUAGUCACUGUUAGCCACUUCCAAGAUCCUGAGUGCUUCUGUGUACAAGAGAUUGGAGAAGAUUGUGAAUAUCUGCUAAAGAUGAUGAAGGAUCUUCAAGAAUUCUACAACAGGCCUCUGGAUGAUAGAUGGAACAUUUUGUGCCCGAAGAAAGGAACCAUCUGUGUGGCUCACUUCUCUGAGGAUAAUCAAUGGUCUAGAGCUGAGAUUGUUGAUCUGCCUGGUAGUCAGCAAGUGGAUGUAUUGUAUGUCGACUAUGGCAAUUAUGAAAGAGUUCAUUGCUCCAAAUUACGGAAGAUAUCUAAGAAGUUCCUCAAACUGUGUAUGCAGGCCCUGCCUUGUUCUCUGGCUGACAUUGGUCCCAAGGACCCUGAGAAAGGAUGGACAGCAGAAGAAAACGAUGGAUUUGGUACCAUCGUUCUCACCAAAGCCCUGAGAGCAACUGUCAAAGGUAUCCAAAAAAGGAGGCUGUCAAUCAUUUUAGUUGAAGACAGGCAAGAUAGGGAGAUCAACAUUAAUGCAUUGCUGGUUCAGAAAGGAUUUGCUCAAAGCACUGGACCUGGAUCUGUCAGCGCAGCUAUCAUCUUUGACAUUCCUCACAGUGACUUCUCUGACGACGACACAUUGAAAAAUGAAGGAACACCAUCAACAGAUUCUGGUACUGACACUCAAGCUAGCAUUCCUAAGACUAAUGGAGCUGCUAGACCCUACACUAUCACCUCUCCGUCCAAGUCACAGCCAUCCUCCAAGCUUAGCUCACAAGCUCCAAGCUCACAGUACACAUCAGUUCACAUUAGUCAUGUGGAGUCACCAGCUUGUAUCUACAUUCAACUUUCAACAGCUAGGAAAGAUGGAUUAGACAGCUUACUGGAAACCAUGACGCUGACCUACAAGCAGUUGGAAUCAACGGAAGACAUUGUUUGGCAAGAAGGAGAUUCGUGUAGUGCAUUGCUUAUCAGAGAAGGAGUGUGGUGUAGAGGACGUAUCAAGACAGUGCUACCGGAUGAAAAUGCCAUUAUUCUUUUCACUGACUACGGCAACACAGAGGUUGUGUCAUUCAGCAACAUACGCCCCCUGUUGGCUAAGUUUCAGGAUGAUCCGCCAUUUGCAAUCCAGUGUCACCUUGCUGAUGUCAUACCAGGAGGGGAUAAACAGAAAUGGACCAGGACAGCUUGUGAAUUCCUUGCGGCCACGUUGUCAGACUUAGAAUGUGUCAUAGUCAAGAAGGGUGACCUGCAGAAUGGCUCUCUUCCCAUAGACCUUCUCUAUGAACGUUCCAUUGAAGAGAAACUUGAACAACAGACAACGGAGGAUUUUGGUAGCAUUUCCAAGUUGCUACUUCUUAAAGGACUAGCUUUGCCAGUCAGUAGGCGUGUUCCUGCAAGGUCCUCCACAUCACCACCCUCAGAUCAACAGCUGCCUACAAAGAGUUCCUCACCCCAUAAACCAUCUGACUCCUCAGUGGGUGGUCCCACCUCCAAGUCCCAGGAUAAACCUUCCCAGCAUGCUUCAGCUGGUUCAUCUCCAGGAGUCAGCCCUCAAUUGACUGUUUCACAGUUUGAAUCAGCUGAAGAAGAAGGGGACUUUCCUCGAUAUCUGUUGCCACCAUUACCAACAAGUGGGAGACUUGAUCUGGUGAUCACAUACGUCAGCACUGAUGGAAUUAUCUCGGGAUUGGAAGCCAGCGAAGUUGAUACAUUCCGGGAUGUUAUGGAGAGACUACAAGCAGCCAAUUCCAUAUCUCAGCCGGUGCCGAUGUCUAAAGAUCUGCGAGAAGGACAAGCAGUAUGUGCACAAUUCCAAGAGGAUGGUCUUUGGUAUAGAGCAAGAAUCACAAGGGUGCAUGCAGACGCUGCAGAGGUGCACUAUGUAGAUUUUGGUAAUUCAGAGACUGUCCCUUUCCCAAGCAUCCAUCUGAAACCAUUUAAGUUGGACAUGCCUCAACAGAGCAGAGAUUGUAUUCUAAUUGGUCUUCGACCGAAACCUCCAAGCUCUUCAUGGCCUGUCACAACAAUCCAGUUUCUGUUAGAGACCCUUGUGGAACAGUCAUGCACAGCAUUGAUUAAGUCCCUUUGCAAAAAAGGAGAACCCUUGAAAGUGGAUCUGCUGUUACCAACUGGACAAAGUAUCAACAUGGUUCUUGUAGCAGAGGGAUUAGCUGAAAAUGAAGACAAUGAUGAUGGGAGUGAGAAAAGCUGCCCCUUUUCUGAAGUGGAAGCGUCUAGAGAUGUUGCCACGUUGACACCCAAUGGUAGAGUAGUAUCCCCUGAAAUGGGUGUGGCUAUAGCAGGAUUGGAGGUGGAGUACAAGCCAAUGAGGUUGCCAGCCAAAGGAUCUCAAUUGGCUGUAUCAGUGACACACAUCAACCAGCCAGACAUGGUUUACAUACAACCAUGGGCAGAUCAUCACUUUGGCGAUGGCCCAGUCCAACUGGAGACAUAUCAUCAACUUGCUGAGUUGCAGAGAAUGUCAGCUGACCUAAACAAGAUGGCUCCCACUCUACCAAGUGUCACCAACCCCCAGAUAGGUUUGUGCUGCUGUGCUCUCUACCAAGUCAACCAGCAGUGGUUCCGUACAACAAUUCACCAAGUCAAGUCGACUGAGAAACUUUGUGAAGUCCAGUUUGUGGAUUAUGGCACGACGGAGUGGGUACCAUUUGAAGGGUUACGACAGAUUCCAGAAAAAUUUACCACUUUGCCCAUGCAAGCCCGACAGUGCCAGCUCAUAGGUCUAAAACCACCGUCCCCAUCAGCUGCCUAUGAGGGCGCUACGUUGCCUGACUCUGAUUGGCCAAUGGCUUCAGUUGACAAGUUGCUUGAGCUCGUUUCCAACAAAAAGCUGAUAGCCUCAAUUCAGAAUGAGAGGCCAGUUCCAGGCAUUUUCUUGUAUGAAGCAGAUGAGGUAGCAAACCAAUCUAUGAUGAGUUUGCGGCAGGUUGGAUGUCCGAUUCAUCAAGCACUCAUUGAAGCAGGACUUGCACAGCUGAACCAACCAUUCCCAAGUGAGGCAGACAUUCACGAGUAAUGACACAUUGACCAUCUUGCCAAGUGGACACUGAAACUCAGUGACAGAUGCUGUUGUCGUUAGUGUUUGCCUUGUACAAUGACUCUGCAGACAUGCAGCCUACAGAUGUUAAUAAAUGAUGUCCAUUAAUUCUACUGACUGAUCUGCCAAAUACUUCAAGGAGUUCAAACCAACGGAGAAAUUGGUGCUUAUGGAUGCCUGAUUCAAAGUCAAUUUCUUGGAGUUACUGGAGCAGAAAGCUCGUUGGAAAACGUGUCGGUUUCAAUUCAUAAUGACAGGCAUAGGAGAACGAU
RNAcentral lists this unclassified non-coding RNA (5736 nucleotides) under Acanthaster planci (crown-of-thorns starfish). Its description in RNAcentral is "rING finger protein 17-like, transcript variant X6". The record is from RNAcentral. Lineage: Eukaryota; Metazoa; Echinodermata; Asteroidea; Valvatida; Acanthasteridae.